UUAUCCUCAUAAGUUUGACGAAAAGAGGUACCGAAUUAAAUAAAAUAAUAUAAAAGCGGUGUCACAGAAUCGGAGGCCACGACUGUUUACUAAAAACACAACACAGUGCAAUCAUUAAUAUGAUAGUAUACUGUGUGAAAUUUGCCCGAUGCCAUUAAUAUAAGAGAAGUUAUAGUAAAUUGUAACUAAUCGAAAAUCUGGUUAAUAGCGGUCUUAACUAUGAGGAUCCUAAGGUAGCAAAAUAAAUUGGCCAUUAAAUGUGGUCCGGUAUCAAUAAUGUAACGAUGGCCUCACUGUCUCUACAACUUGCUCAGUGAAAUUGAAUUACGCGUGCAGAUGCGC
RNAcentral lists this ribosomal RNA (342 nucleotides) under Pluteaceae sp. C70gn. Its description in RNAcentral is "LSU rRNA". It matches the Rfam family "Bacterial large subunit ribosomal RNA", at positions 1722 to 2064 of the family's 2925-position model. The record is from RNAcentral. Lineage: Eukaryota; Fungi; Basidiomycota; Agaricomycetes; Agaricales; Pluteaceae.